AUUCUGCAGUGCUGGCUCCAAGUAACUGUAAGCUAUUUUGAGAAACCCAAUUUUGCUCACAGUGGACACACAUCCGCGAUCAGCAAGGAUUCUCAGGACGAUAGCAAUUGGCUUAAACAAAGCCUUUCAGUUACCAAAUUGCAGACACUACUAUGAUUCCAACCUGACUUCCCUGGGCAGAUGCCCUCACCCAUGUGUCCUGGAGCCUCCCCUCCCCAGAGCCCUGCCCCACUAGGGAAAGACAGAGACAGGCCGGGGGUGUGGAUCCACCUGCCAACACCCAUGUCCAGCGGAGAAGCAAUGACAGAAGCCAGACCUCCCCCCUUCUGUAUCCCACAAGGACUUGGGUCCAUAUAACCAGAAGGAUAAAGAACAGUUUGGAUUUCCGAAGGUGUCACCGUAACUUGGACCCCACACACAAACACAUCUAGACGAGAUGCUCAAAUGAUGGGACAUAUCAACAGAGCCUAAGUCUAACACAAGCUUCAUUUUAAAGUCAAGAUUUCAUUUAAACCGCUAGAGUUGCAGAUGAACAUUUAGUAGUAAGGAAAACAUCUCUAUUUUCCUGUCUUGUGCAAAAAUGUAAGUUCCAUUAAUUUCUACCCCGAUUUCAUGCAUGUCAAUAAGUUCUGGUAAGGCAGAGUGCUAAGAGUCCCCCAUGAUUUUUGGUCUUUCCUUCUUCCCUAUAAUUUCCUUUGCACAUCAGGAGGGUGUCAAAUGUUCUCACUCAGAUGAAAAUACUCAGAAAG
Long non-coding RNA from Erinaceus europaeus (western European hedgehog), 749 nucleotides. RefSeq lists it as uncharacterized. NCBI's taxonomy places the organism in Eukaryota, Metazoa, Chordata, Mammalia, Eulipotyphla, Erinaceidae. The transcript has 4 exons. The record is from RefSeq and is a predicted model, not a curated record.